ACAGCAGCAGCCGCGGGAAAACGGAGGGGGCUAGCGUUGUUCGGAAUUACUGGGCGUAAAGCGCACGUAGGCGGCUUGGUAAGUUAGAGGUGAAAGCCUGGAGCUCAACUCCAGAAUUGCCUUUAAGACUGCCGAGCUAGCAGGUGAGAGAGGUAAGUGGGAUUCCGAGUGUAGAGGUGAAAUUCGUAGAUAUUCGGAAGAACACCAGUGGCGAAGGCGGCUUACUGGCUCAUACUGGACGCUGAGGUGCGAAAGCGUGGGGAGCAAACAGGAUUAGAUACCCCAGUAGUCCCUGUCUCUUAUAC
This 305-nucleotide ribosomal RNA is filed under the name uncultured bacterium. RNAcentral's name for it is "partial 16S ribosomal RNA". It matches the Rfam family "Bacterial small subunit ribosomal RNA", at positions 505 to 807 of the family's 1533-position model. The record is from RNAcentral.